CUACCAUUUUUAUUCAGAACCUUUCAUCUGUACGUGUUGUGAUUUCCCGGUGACCUUACCUUGCAGGAAAGUAUCAAAACAAGCCAAGGCCGAAAAGAUCAAGGAGAAACCACAGCUUCGGGGUAAACAUUUCAACGUUUGCUUCGUCUUGCAGUGUGUGUUUACUGUUGUUGAUCUCUUUGAAAAGAACAGACGGGUAGCCAAACGACUGCCCCUCUCAACCUACGCUUGGAUUUACAACACAUGUCAGAUUUUUUUUCCCAGGCGCGAGUGUCCCGCUUGAAACACAUGUCUGUUUCCCAGUUAUUUGCAAGUGGUCCUGUGUGACAAGUCGAAAGUAUGUGUUGAAAAUCCAUGCGGGACUGAAGAAAGGUCUGGGUGCCAAAUGGUGUGUUUUAAAAUGGAAGCCCUAAGGCGGGGAGCUGCAGCUUAGAGAAAUAGGGGCUGUUCAUGUGCUGCCUAUUUUGUCUGUAUCCUUGGAAUAUGUGGUGAAUGUGUUUUUGUACAUGGUAUCUUUGUGUGUGAGCAUUAAUGUCAUACUACUCUGUAUGUGUGUGUAUGUGAAAGUGUGUAAGGUGUAAGUUUACAAUAGAAUCAGGGGUUUGUGGGCUGUAAAUAUCUGCUUCACCCAAUGACUGCACAGUGAGCUGCAGACGCCCCUAGACAUGGUUGCAGAGAGAGAGAGAGAGAUAAAGAGAUACAGAGUGAGAGAGAGCAGUGACACAAUCAAUGACACAUCAACAUCCUGGAAUGACGCCAAGAACACGCUGCAGUCAGCCGUGACUGCAGCUCUACUUCCUGUUUUGUUGGCACCGGUGGGGAGCUUCACCUAGGCACAGAUAUAAUCAGCUUCCCCUCUCCAAUCGUGUCAUUAAACAACUUACUAAUGUCUUUGCCCUUUUGCCCUUAAUUUGCAUAUGUUGGUAUACAAAAACAUUUAUGAAUAGAAAAUGAUCAUUGUGAAACACAUCUAAACCAAUCCUCCAAAAAUGUAUAAGUAGGACAUUUCCUAUGUAAUAUAUACGGUACCACUAAAAGUUUGGACACAUUCAAGGGUGUUUCUUUAGUUUUAUUAUUUGCCACAAUGCAGAAUUAUAGUGAAGAGAUCAAAACUAACUUUUCCUUUAGUCUGCAGUCCAAGUAAUUCCAAGUAAUCUCCACUGGGUUGAGGUCAGGUGAUUGUGGAGGCCAGGUCAUCUGUUGCAACACUCACACACUGUAGUUCUUGAUCAAAUAGCCCUUACACAGCCUGGAGGUGUGUUUUGAGUCAUUGUUCUGUUGAAAAUCUAAUUAUAGCCCCACUAGCGCAAACCAGAUGGAAUGGUGUAUCGCUGCACAAUGCUGUAGUAGCAAUCAUUGUUGAGUGUGCCUUGAAUUCUAAAUAAAUCCCAGUGUCAACAGCAAAGCACCCCCACAUCAUUACACCUCCUCCUUCAUUCUUCAUGGUCAGAACCACCCAUCUGGAGACCAUCCGUCACGCACUCUGGGUCUCACAAAGACACGGCAGUUGGGACCUAAUUUGGACUAGUAAGACCAAAGGACAGAUUUCCACCGAUCUAAUGUCCAUUUCUUGUGUGUCUUGGUCCUAGCAUUUCUCUUCUCAUUGGUGUCCUUCAGUAGUGGUUUCUUUGCAGUAAUGAAGGCCUGAUUCACGCAGUCUCCUCUGAACACAUGAUGCUGAGAUGUGUCAGUUACUAGAACUCUGUGAAACAUGUAUUUGGGCUGCAAUCUGAGUUACAGUUAAUAACAGAUUUCUGAGGCUGGUACAGCAGAUAUAAAAAGUCUACACACCCCUGUUAAAAUUGCCAGGUUUUUGUGAUGUAAAAGAAUGAGACAAAGAUAAAUCAUGUCAGAACUUUCUCCAUUUUUAAUGUGACCUAUAAUGUGAACAAUUCAAUUGAAAAACCAAGUACAUCACAAGCACCUGGCAUUUUAACAGGGAUGUGUAGACUUUUUAUAUCCACUGUAGCUCAAAUGAACUUAUCCUCUGCAACAAAGGUAAUACUGGGUCUUUCUUUCCUGUGGCGGUCCUCAUGAGAGCCAAUUUCAUCAUAGUGCUUAAUGGUUUUCAUAACCCUACUUGAAUUUUUUUUUUUAGAGUUCUUGACAUUUUCCAGAUUCACUAAACUUCAUGUCUUAU
Long non-coding RNA from Esox lucius (northern pike), 2140 nucleotides. Lineage: Eukaryota; Metazoa; Chordata; Actinopteri; Esociformes; Esocidae. The record is from Ensembl.